RNAcentral lists this ribosomal RNA (666 nucleotides) under Triticum aestivum (bread wheat). RNAcentral's name for it is "partial small subunit ribosomal RNA". The record is from RNAcentral. Lineage: Eukaryota; Viridiplantae; Streptophyta; Magnoliopsida; Poales; Poaceae.
AUGAAGCUAGCUGCUGCCUGCAACUCGAUGGUGGUGAAGGCGAAGCCGUCGAGGGGCGGGAAGAGGACCAGGGCGAGCGGCGGCGCAGCAGGGGCGACGGCGGCAGCGGCGGUACUGAUGGAGAAGAAGGACUCGGAGAAGGAGAGGAGGCAGCGCAUGAAGGGGCUUUGCGAUAAGCUCGCGUCCCUCAUCCCCAAAGAACACAACCCCCACGAUGAUACAAUGACCCAGCUAGGCAGCCUAGAUGUGGCAGCAUCAUACAUCAAGAUGCUCAAGGAGAGGGUUGAUGAGCUUCAACGUAAGAAGACCACUGCGCUAGCAAUGGCUACCUUACAAGGAGUUAGUGGCAUCUCGAUCCCCUCUACCACGAGUAGCGGUGCUGGGUCACCGGAAAGGGAAAUGUAUUUGAAGGCAUCGGCACCGGUAUUGGAGGUACGGCAACCUAAUGAUUCAAGCAUGGAGGUGAGGAUGAUAUGCAACACAGAGAAGCCGAUCAAGCUCCAUGAGGUGCUCACCAUCCUGGAGGAAGAAGGGGCCAACAUUAUCAACGCGAAUCACUCUGUUGUUGGCCACAAAAUAUUUUACACCAUACUCUCCCGGGCCUUCAGCACCAGAAUUGGCAUAGAUGAUUCAAGAAUUUCUAAACGACUAGGUGCACUGGUUUGA